UAUCUGGAGCCCCCACCCGUCAGCCUGCAAAUACACCUCCAAGCAUCUUGUUCCUUCCUUUGUUCUGCUGAGUGCAAGGGGCAGGCGUGACAGAAGAGUACAGGCGUCGCUAGAGACAACAGCUUGAGGGAGAGCUAGAGAGGGAUAGCAGUGGAGAGGGGACAUUUUCCCAUUUUGCUGCUAGACUUAUGGGCCAACUGAAAAAUUACACACCUCACAAAUAAUUAAAAUUGAUUUUUCCAUUAUGCUUUUGAUUGUGGGCUAAGGGUGCUUCGUCAGCAUUUCCAAGAUAAACUGUUUUCCUGUUGUUUUUAAAAUCGGCAUAUCAAGAAAAUUAUUAGGCUAGCAAAAAAGGGAGUCCAUGCCAAUCCUUUAGAGUAAUAGCAGCAAACAUGUGAUUACUGCUUUUAAUCUGCUACCAUUAUGACAUUUCUCCAAAGGAGAAAUGGAAAGUUAAGACAAGUAUAGUUUUUCCCAUCGUGACUGCCCUACGUUUAAGAAAUUACUGUGCUUGUAUCGUAUGUUAACCUCGUGUUAUGUCACAUCACAUACUAGCGGAUUAUUAUUGGGAAAGAGGCCUUAUAUUAUCUAGAGAGAAAUUUUAAGAUAAGAUAAGGAAUCCUGGAUGGAAAUUUGGACUAAGUAAUGGCUGAAAUGUUUCCCAACCAUAAAGUUUAAAGACCUGAAUGUGAAAGAAUGAAGUCAAUGACUUAACAAAAACUGUUUUCUGGCCUUGAGUGUACCACUUACUGGAUAAAUGAACGUGGACAAGACCAUUUGAACUGUUUCCAUUUCAGCUUUUUCAUCUGCAAAAUGAGGACAAUUCUGUUCAGGACCUCCAGGUAGCCAACAGGCCUCAGUACAAGUAGACACCUCCCUUCCAACGUGGCAUGGCAGGCCUGCAAAUAAGUGGUUCCAGGGAAGGUCAUGUGACACCUUUGGGCCAAUGAGAUGCAGGGACAGAUAUGCUGAGGCUUCUGGCAACAUCUUUCCAUGUUCUUACAGGGUUUCUAGAAGAACACCUUUUUCCCUAGAGUUGCUGUUCUGAGUAAGGCUUAGAAUUUCUGCAGCUGUCUUACUACCUGAGGAGGAUGUCGCUAUACAAAGGAACACAGGGCCUUCCCAGGGAAUCCCUGGGAAACGCAGUGAGGCCACUGAUGGAGUCCACCCUGAAGCUUGCCCUAUAUCUACACUUCUAGUAUGAAAAUCAAAAUACUUUUCCCAUACUGGUUGAACCAAUUUGACUUGAAUUUAUUGUUACCUACAAUUCAAGAAACGCUAACUAGCUUAUAGGUAAGAAAAUCUAAGUAAAACUCUGAAAGUUAAGUGCUAUAAGGUAUUAUUAUUUACAGGAGUAACAUCUCUCCUGGCUUUAUGAUGAAGCCAAAUCAUCUUUGGGGGGCACCUCACGGAAUUAUGUAUUGUGGUGUGUGGGUCCUUUUGAUAAUAUCCCUGUCCAGUGGCUAUUUAACACACAGGUGGAUUCUCCCAGCAAUAGGGAUGUCAUCACCUCCUGAGGCAGGACUCAUGGUUGUGUCACUCAGCACAUCACAACGUGGUCGUUCUGGGAUUCAAAAUUUGUACCUGCUUUGUGCUGAGCUCACGUGAAGCAGAGAGAAGGCAGAAAAAUCGGGAAGGUGUAUUUAUUGCUAUUGGUCUGCAUUUUUCCCACAUGGAAAUGGCUGAGCUCAGGCAAGUCAGCUGCUGGUGGGACUGUGGUCUCCCUGUACCUUCCUGUCUUCUCCUUGCUGGCAUUCUCUCUGCAGGGACCUGAGGAAAGUCACAGCUCUUCUUUGGAAGGACACUAGCCAUUUGUCUGGUCUGCAGGGCCUGUGCAGCCAUUCAUGAUAGUGUUAUUGUGCAGUUUUUAGAACGGUAAUUUUGAAAUGAUGUAUUUCAGAGCCCAGCCUAGCACAAUCUGACCUGGGCAAGCUGGGCUCGUGGUAGCAGAGAGCAGAUGCUGUAAAGGGGAGGGCAAACGUGAAAGGGGAAAUGGUGCCCUUAACGGUAGGCCCCUCUGUUCCUAAAGCGAAGAUAUUUUUGUCUGUUUCUCCUCUCAGUACUGUAACAGGAAGGAGAAGGUGCUGCACGUGCUGGAUACGGUGGACUAUUAAUUUGAGAUCCCCCUCCCUACCUGUCACCUACUUUCUAUGUGACUUGAGCCUGUGGCCUGUGGCCACUGUGUUGAUAUUUGUGGACUUGCCUCUGUGCUCCACACACCCUACCUGACGCCAGUCAGAGGGCCCCAUAAUGAACCCUGUGAUGGCCACCCAGAUCCUCCUUCAGAACAGAAGGACUUCUACCCCUCACUGCUAGGAGUGUUGCCAUCAGAUGGCCUGCAGCUGUCGGUUCUCUCUGGCAAUUGCACUUGGCUAAGCACGGUUGCCUAGCCCAAGGUGAGACCUGCUUCCCCGGGCGGCCUCUCUCCGAUGACUGGUCAAACAAAGGAUACAAAUGCUCAGUCCUCUUGUCCCAACCUGGGACAACUUUGCAGGGCCAUCUCAGCGUUGGGGCUCCCCAUGGGGUCAGGUGUGGUCAUUGUUGAGACUGCAUCAUGGCCCAACUUUCUAACAACGGUUCUGUAUGCUAAUCCCCAGUGCAGUCUGCCUUCCAAAGCAUCCUCCCCGGGACAACCUCUCUGUGGCGACCUAGGCCCAAUACUGGGGACAUGCAUUCAGACAGAGGAGAAUGUGCAGAUAAGACUCUGCCCCUCCCCGCCCCGAAUCUGUUAAAAAAAACACUGGUGACCUUGGGAGCUGUAGAAAAGACCCUCUGUUCCCCCGAGCUUCUCCUUAGGAAUGAUAGUAAGAACUACCUUUAUAAAGAGCUGGUUCGGGGCCAGGCACCGGGCUGAACACUUCACAGGUAUUGUCUCAUUAAUCUUAAUCACAAUCCUGCUGAGUAGGGGCUCUCCCCUGCAUUUUAUGGAUGUGGCAACUGUUAGUAAAUGUUAGUAAAUCUGGUGGCAGAGUGGGCUGGAUCCCACUGAGCGUAUCCACUCAGACAUGCUAUCCCAAACUCCUCAGUGGUGCGCAGGCAGGCAAAAAAGGAUCAGAGGGACUUGAGGACAGUGUCCUUGGGGGGUUAUUGCUGUUCAAGGCCUGCAUGACUCACUUGUGCCAAAAAGACAUUCCUUAAACGCGGUGAUAAGAAUAUCACUUUGGUAAGCCCUGUUUUGAACGUACAAACCAAGAUUUAAAGGAAUUUUACAGUAAAUAAACUAUUACAGCUGCCAUUAUUGGGUGUCUGCUACCUACGAGUCAAAGGGCUAUAUAAACAUCUCAUAUGUGGAACAUGGUUAGUCCUUUCAACAAACCUCCAAUGUAAACUUUAUCAUCCCACUUUACAUCAGAGGGACUGAGGCUCAGAGAGGUUAGAUUAACUUGUCCAAGCCAGGGUGACCAACUGUCUUUUUUUGUCCAGGACUGAGACAUCCCAUGCUAAUAAGGCAAAGUUCCUGCAAACUAGAACCAGUUGGUCAUGGUAGGUGGAGCUAAAACACACACACACACACACACACCAGCAAUGAAAUCUUUCCAUAAAGCUACUAAAUAUUAAUUCCAAAUUGGUUUGUUCUCUAACAAUUGAACCUGCACAUAUAAUAGAUUGACAGCCCCAAGGGCUAUUAAUAGUCUAAAUGUGAAAAAUACAAGGAGAUAAAACUGAAAAUAAUCUUUGAUUCAGUCUUAACCACUUCCCGUGAUUGAAACAUUAUCCUUAGAAAAUGCCAGGACCCCAGGAAGAAGACUCCCACUGUACAGCUUUACAUUUUCUUUGAUCAGCAACAUGGAAGGCAAAAGUAACUUACCUCAUCUGAAAUUUGACCUCCAAAUGUCACCCAUGUUCCUAGAAAAUAAAUAUUUGCACAUUAUUUAUGAUCAUUUUUCUCUUUAAAAACUAUUUAUUUACUUAUUUAUUUAUUUUAAGAGAGACAGAGAGAACGACUGGGGGAGUGGCAGAGAGAGAGAGAGAAGGAGCGAGAGAAUCCCAAGCGGGCUCCAAUCGUCAGCACGGAGCCCGUUGUGGGGCUCAAACCCAUGGACCGUGAGAUCAUGACCUGAGCCAAAACCAAGAGUCAGAUGUGUAACUGACUGAGCCAUCCAAGAAUGAUUCCCAGAGAAAUGUGGAGCUGGAGGGAGGAGCAUCCCCCCUAACCUGCACUGGAAAGCAAGAAAUCAUGUGAGCCCAGGACCAGUGCUGACUUGGAGGAGGGGGCACUCAGCUGUUGGCCACCGCCUGAGAUCAGGUCCGGAGAAUGACCCUGCAGGCCCUUUCCUGUCUGAGCUUCAGGCUGAGUCUCUGGAGAACGGAACCCUCUCCCAUGUCCUUGUGCCCCAAUCCUGCUUAUUCUUCAGCCUCAGAAUUCAGUGCUGCAAGACGUGGUUCCCUAACACUUCCUCCGCUGCCUGGCAAAAAUCCCCACCCGGAUCAAUCUGACUGUCUGGCUCUCAUCACCCAUAACCAAGAUGCUGAGCCGUGCUGGAGAAAAUCACAGAAGACAGAGACGGACGCGUUGUAAAUUCUCGGUCUACAGUAACUAUGCACUGAUGGGCUCUGUUUUUGGAUCAUUUUCCUCCACUGUUUGGAUUUCAAAGAUGCUCUACUUUUCUCAACCUCAGGCCCCACUUUUUCUUCUUCCAGCAUCAGCAGACCACUCACACUUCCUGCUUCACCGAGAACAUAAAAGCAGACAAACUACUGUCCCCUCUAUUUCUUGCUCCUAAGUCCAGCAACCUACCCAUCACAGACACAGUGGAUGUCCUGCCCUUUUCCCAGUGGUCUCCAGCUGCCUGAGGACUCCCUCUGGGAUGCAGACACCCCACCUCCUUCACCCUCAGAUGGGGAGAGCGCACUGGGUCAUGGGCCAUGAGAUGUGCAUUCUGGCCCCCAUGCUGUCUGUGGAGCUGUGAUUGCCUGCCCUGAGUGAUUCCUGGAGUCAUUCCGACACCCCCAUUCUCUAGUUCUACAGUAGCCUGUGGGCAUUUUCACCCAGCUGCCACUCUGGAGUCAUGCGGAACUUGAUCACUGCCCACAUCAUAACUGUUAGAGCUAGAAUGAGCCUCCCAUGUCUGGUCCAGCCACUCACUUCUCGAGGAGGAACCUGAGGCCGGGAAGAGGCUGUGGGCACUUGGAGGCUGCGGGUGGAGAAGAAGUAGGGAUCAGGUGGCUGGUGGCCGGGCCAGAGGCAGGAGGUGUGGGCUCUGCUGUCUCUACCACUGGACUUGGACAAGACAUUUCCCCUCUUUCUGAUGAGGGAGCCUAAGGCAAGUUACCCGUGCUGCCAUUGCCUGUCCCCCCAGGUGGGAUGUGUGUGAUAUUCCCCGGGCACUCCUGGCUGCCCAAGA
Molecule: long non-coding RNA, 5345 nt
Organism: Acinonyx jubatus (cheetah)
Lineage: Eukaryota; Metazoa; Chordata; Mammalia; Carnivora; Felidae
Exons: 4
Source: RefSeq, a predicted model, not a curated record